This 188-nucleotide ribosomal RNA is filed under the name uncultured bacterium. Its description in RNAcentral is "partial 16S ribosomal RNA". It matches the Rfam family "Bacterial small subunit ribosomal RNA", at positions 1313 to 1500 of the family's 1533-position model. The record is from RNAcentral.
CGCCUUCAUGAAGCUGGAAUUGCUAGUAAUGGCAGGUCAGCAUACUGCCGUGAAUACGUUCCCGGGCCUUGUACACACCGCCCGUCACACCAUGAGAGUUGGAAAUACCCGAAGCCUGUGAGCUAACAGUAAUGAGGCAGCAGUCGAAGGUAGAGCCAAUGAUUGGGGUGAAGUCGUAACAAGGUAUC